Long non-coding RNA from Armigeres subalbatus, 1854 nucleotides. RefSeq lists it as uncharacterized. NCBI's taxonomy places the organism in Eukaryota, Metazoa, Arthropoda, Insecta, Diptera, Culicidae. The record is from RefSeq and is a predicted model, not a curated record. The transcript has 3 exons.
UCAAUAAAUCGAGACGAGUGGACCAGCGAGAGAAGUUAAUCAAAUCGAGGAACUACGAUUCGGCCGCCCUUUGUAUGUAAGUGCUCAAGGUUAAGGAGUGUUCACUAAAAGAUGUACUGCUGGACGAAAUUCCUGGAAUGUAUGAAAACACCAUACCAUACAAAUACAAAUUACUUUACGACGAAGAAAUUGAUUGCUGGAAACCUGAUGCACCGAAAAUUUUACGAGGGUCGGACCCGGAUAAACGAAUUCCUGCUCCUGCUUCUGUAUCAAAAAGGACUAUCGUGCCGGAUAAGGCUCCCAGAGCUGGACUAGGCAGCAGCUGUUGAUCGACGCAAACCUAAAAAUAAGGUGGCAUACUCCGACGGCCUUGUGUUGGAACCAAUAAAGGGAUUCAGGAAUACAACAUUUGCUUUACUACGACUACCGAUGCAGACGAUUAUGAGAACGCCGGCGCUCAGAUCCUCCAAAGAAGCAAAAUGACAUCCUCAUCAAUCUUCUAUCAUCCUCACGCAUUAUUGCACAGCACACCGCUGGGCAUCAUCAUCAAUCGCCAGUGUUUUUUCGCAUCAGUGUCGGUCGGUACUGCUGUCAAAAAAAUCAGCUCGCCUCGCACGGUUUGUAUUUACCGCGUUCGCACCCAGGAUCUUUCGAUUCGAUGUUCGCGGUACACCAGCCCAAAAGGACACUUUGCUGAAACGAUUAUCGAUCUAGGAUAACCAGCCAAAAAGCUGUUUACAAAGACGGGUGGUUCGGAUGCAGAACUCACGAGGAAUCGUUUCUCCAUCGGAAUUCCACUACUGGUUCCGAACACGAAAACCGCUUCACUCCAUCGUCAGCGUCCUCGAUCACCGUGACAGAAAAGUGCGGGUAGGAAGCACCUCUGGAUUGGGCCAUUUCGUUAGCUGAACCAAAUACCACCACCGCCGCCUGCGGAACAGCAACGGAUCAAAGUGACUGAAAACUAUUAAUUCAAGUUCAGUGCCUCUGAUCGACAAAGAGGCUUUACAAAAUCAACAAGAACCGUCACAAUUCCUCUGGCAACCAUUUGCAGCAUACGGACAGCGAAGAUUUAACAAAGAAGGUAGCGUUUUUUCCACCCUCUGACUCAAGGAAUCGAUGCUGGAGAACGAUCGUCAUCAGAGCAGCAGGAACACUAGUGAUUAUCAAUCCGGAGAACGCUCCAGUAUUACGACAUCUCAUCAACCUCUUGACCAUUUGAUUAUCAUCGUCAUAAUCACAAUCUGGCUGUCGUCUUCGGGGUCGCGAUCAGGAUAGUUUGCGGAUUUUAUACACUAGACUAGAGCUACCACCGCUAGUGUUUCAGCUUUUUGUAGGACACCCUUGAUGGCACAGCCGCUGGAUUAUAGUUGCCCUUGAACGGAAAACAAGAAAUGUGUACAGAGCAGACCGGUAAACCAAUAGUUUAUUCCAGUUGUCUCACUCCGUUAAUCAGUGGCUUGCUGGUCGCCAGAAAGUUCAUGGCGAUGCUCUUCCAGUUGAUGUGGUAGUCGACGCAGUUGCGGGAAUGGCGUUAGUAUACUUAUGCUGGAAUGCGGCUCUGGUGGAAACCAGCUAGAUCUGGUUGGUGCCAGACGUGCGUUCGAUGGAAAAUCGAUGAUUUUACGAACCAAAGCCACUAGUCAGCCGUGAGGGUCGGUUCCGAUUUUCUCGUACUGGAAGUUUAUUGGCCAACGGUACGAUUGCAAUCAAGGCUAGCGCUCACUCCGGCCGCCCGCCAGCAUCCGGUGAAAAUGUAACUUUGCUGACCGCACUACUCAUCUACUAUUUUGACCAUUUUGACAGCCUUCCCAACUGGUAAUGCAGUAAUCAGAGCAAUUCCCCAGAUGAAGA